RNAcentral lists this ribosomal RNA (379 nucleotides) under uncultured bacterium. RNAcentral's name for it is "bacterial SSU rRNA". It matches the Rfam family "Bacterial small subunit ribosomal RNA", at positions 521 to 896 of the family's 1533-position model. The record is from RNAcentral.
UAAUACGUAGGGGCCUAGCGUUGUCCGGAUUUAUUGGGCGUAAAGAGCUCGUAGGCGGUUCGGUAAGUCAGGUGUGAAAUCUCCACGCUCAACGUGGAGGCGCCACCUGAAACUGCCGUGACUCGAGUCCGGUAGGGGAGUGUGGAAUUCCUGGUGUAGCGGUGAAAUGCGCAGAUAUCAGGAGGAACACCAGUGGCGAAGGCGGCACUCUGGGCCGGUACUGACGCUGAGGAGCGAAAGCGUGGGGAGCGAACAGGAUUAGAUACCCUGGUAGUCCACGCCGUAAACGUUGGGCACUAGGUGUGGGACUCUAUCGACGGGUUCCGUGCCGUAGCUAACGCAUUAAGUGCCCCGCCUGGGGAGUACGGCCGCAAGGCUA